CAAGUCGAACGCGAAAGCCCCGCAAGGGGUAAGUAGAGUGGCAAACGGGUGAGUAACACGUGGGUGACCUACCUUCGAGUGGGGGAUAACGUCCCGAAAGGGACGCUAAUACCGCAUGACAUCCUGCGUUUGGAAACGCGGAGAUCAAAGCCGGGGAUCGCAAGACCUGGCGCUUGAAGAGGGGCCCGCGCCUGAUUAGCUAGUUGGUGGGGUAACGGCUCACCAAGGCAACGAUCAGUAUCCGGCCUGAGAGGGCGGACGGACACACUGGGACUGAGACACGGCCCAGACUCCUACGGGAGGCAGCAGUGGGGAAUUGUUCGCAAUGGGCGCAAGCCUGACGACGCAACGCCGCGUGGAGGACGAAGAUCUUCGGGUCGUAAACUCCUGUCGAGCGGGAAGAACGCUUCCCGGGUGAAUAAUCCGGGGAAUUGACGGUACCGCUAAAGGAAGCCCCGGCUAACCCCGUGCCAGCAGCCGCGGUAAUACGGGGGGGGCAAGCGUUGUUCGGAAUUACUGGGCGUAAAGGGCUCGUAGGCGGCCAACUAAGUCGGAUGUGAAAUCCCCAGGCUUAACCUGGGAACUGCAUCCGAUACUGGAUGGCUUGAAUCCGGGAGAGGGAUGCAGAAUUCCAGGUGUAGCGGUGAAAUGCGUAGAUAUCUGGAGGAAUACCGGUGGCGAAGGCGGCAUCCUGGACCGGCAUUGACGCUGAUGAGCGAAAGCUAGGGGAGCAAACGGGAUUAGAUACCCCGGUAGUUCUAGCCCUAAACGAUGAAUGCUUGGUGUGGCGGGUAUCGAUCCCUGCCGUGCCGAAGCUAAC
RNAcentral lists this ribosomal RNA (820 nucleotides) under uncultured Acidobacteriota bacterium. RNAcentral's name for it is "bacterial SSU rRNA". It matches the Rfam family "Bacterial small subunit ribosomal RNA", at positions 58 to 856 of the family's 1533-position model. Lineage: Bacteria; Pseudomonadati; Acidobacteriota. The record is from RNAcentral.